GCUGCGUGGCUCAGUGUCGAACGGGUGAGUAACCGUGAGCAACCUGCCCCCUACUUCGGGAUAAGCCUUGGAAACGGGGUCUAAUACCGGAUAUGAACGCUUGCCGCAUGGUGGGUGUUGGAAAGUUUUUCGGUGGGGGAUGGGCUCGCGGCCUAUCAGCUUGUUGGUGGGGUAAUGGCCUACCAAGGCGUCGACGGGUAGCCGGCCUGAGAGGGCGACCGGCCACACUGGGACUGAGACACGGCCCAGACUCCUACGGGAGGCAGCAGUGGGGAAUAUUGCACAAUGGGCGAAAGCCUGAUGCAGCGACGCCACGUGAGGGAUGACGGCCUUCGGGUUGUAAACCUCUUUCAGCAGGGAAGAAGCGCAAGUGACGGUACCUGCAGAAGAAGCGCCGGCUAACUACGUGCCAGCAGCCGCGGUAAUACGUAGGGCGCAAGCGUUGUCCGGAAUUAUUGGGCGUAAAGAGCUCGUAGGCGGUCUGUCGCGUCUGGUGUGAAAUCCCAUGGCUCAACUGUGGGCUUGCAUCGGGUACGGGCAGACUAGAGUACUGUAGGGGAGACUGGAAUUCCUGGUGUAGCGGUGGAAUGCGCAGAUAUCAGGAGGAACACCGAUGGCGAAGGCAGGUCUCUGGGCAGUUACUGACGCUGAGGAGCGAAAGCAUGGGGAGCGAACAGGAUUAGAUACCCUGGUAGUCCAUGCCGUAAACGUUGGGCACUAGGUGUGGGGCCAGUUCCACUGGUUCUGUGCCGUAGCUAACGCAUUAAGUGCCCCGCCUGGGGAGUACGGGCCGCAAGGCUAAAACUCAAAGGAAUUGACGGGGGCCCGCACAAGCGGCGGAGCAUGCGGAUUAAUUCGAUGCAACGCGAAGAACCUUACCAAGGCUUGACAUGUACGAGAAAGCCCCAGAGAUGGGGUUCUCUUUGGACACUCGUACACAGGUGUGCAUGCUUGUCGUCAGCUCGUGUCGUGAGAUGUUGGGUUAAGUCCCGCAACGAGCGCACCCUUUAUCCUAUGUUGGCCAGCGGGUUUAUGCC
Molecule: ribosomal RNA, 1037 nt
Filed under: Promicromonospora sp. MJAU D0040
Lineage: Bacteria; Bacillati; Actinomycetota; Actinomycetes; Micrococcales; Promicromonosporaceae
Also listed under: 1 other name
Description: bacterial SSU rRNA
Rfam family: Bacterial small subunit ribosomal RNA
Source: RNAcentral